AAUUAUUUUAAAUUUUUGGUACGAAAAAGAAGAUUUCCCGGUCGUCUUCAAUCUUCAUCUUCUUCAUUUCCAUGUGAAGGGUUUCAUAAUCGAGUACAGAUCGAGUAAAAUUUGAAGUAAAUUUUCGCCAAUUUCCAUCUUGAGAGAUGAAAAAUCUGACAGGAAAUCGAAGGAUUUGAUGUAAAUUUGGAUUAAAGGUUGCUGACUACAUCGCCACUGUCAUGUAUGGGACCAACAUUCAGAAUUUGGAUAGGGAUUCCAAGCUGUAACCAAUUGGGCAUUGUCUGUUUGCAGUUCAACUGUUGGGUGAGAAAAACUGAAGCCUCGACGGGUCGUGAAGGGAUCAAAGUUGAUGUAAUCUAGGAUUUCUUUAUGCGUAUACAGUAUAUUUUGGUACUUGUAGUUCUUUUAUAUAUAUAUAUAUAUAUAUAUAUACUAAUUGUAGAGAAUUUUUCAUCUCUACUUAACUUUUCCCGGUAGAAUUUUCUAGUACAGUUUAUGGUAUUUACCUUUCCCCUGUUUAUCUUUGUCGAU
Molecule: long non-coding RNA, 534 nt
Organism: Benincasa hispida (wax gourd)
Lineage: Eukaryota; Viridiplantae; Streptophyta; Magnoliopsida; Cucurbitales; Cucurbitaceae
Source: RefSeq, a predicted model, not a curated record